RNAcentral lists this unclassified non-coding RNA (245 nucleotides) under Lentithecium pseudoclioninum. Its description in RNAcentral is "partial contains 5.8S ribosomal RNA, internal transcribed spacer 2, and large subunit ribosomal RNA". Lineage: Eukaryota; Fungi; Ascomycota; Dothideomycetes; Pleosporales; Lentitheciaceae. The record is from RNAcentral.
CGCACAUUGCGCCCCUCGGUAUUCCGUGGGGCAUGCCUGUUCGAGCGUCAUUUACCCCCUCAAGCUCUGCUUGGUGCUGGGCGUCUGUCCCGCCUCCGUGCGUGGACUCGCCCCAAAGGUAUUGGCAGCGGUCGUGCCAGCUUCUCGCGCAGCAGUUCGCGCUCUGGGGAGCUGUGGCGGUCCGCGUCCACCAAGUCUACUUUCAACUUGACCUCGGAUCAGGUAGGGAUACCCGCUGAACUUAA